CAAUUUAGCCAUAUUGCCCUGGAAUUGCCUGCUCUGGUUUGAUCUCAGAAGCUAAGCCAGGCCAGACCCAGUUAGAGCUGAAUGGGAGACCUAGGAAUAGCAGGGGCUGUGGACU
This 115-nucleotide ribosomal RNA is filed under the name Mus pahari (shrew mouse). RNAcentral's name for it is "rRNA (MGP_PahariEiJ_G0032648.1)". Lineage: Eukaryota; Metazoa; Chordata; Mammalia; Rodentia; Muridae. The record is from RNAcentral.